CUUCGGUCCCCUCGUGACAGUUAGCUGCAAACCCCGCCAGGCCCGGAAGGGAGCAACGGUAGCGGUGAUCUGGGCACCGGGGUGUGGCUGUUGCGG
Molecule: signal recognition particle RNA, 96 nt
Filed under: Gammaproteobacteria bacterium
Lineage: Bacteria; Pseudomonadati; Pseudomonadota; Gammaproteobacteria
Description: signal recognition particle sRNA small type
Rfam family: Bacterial small signal recognition particle RNA
About the family: The signal recognition particle (SRP) is a universally conserved ribonucleoprotein involved in the co-translational targeting of proteins to membranes. Archaeal SRP consists of a 7S RNA and homologues of the eukaryotic SRP19 and SRP54 proteins. In most bacteria, the SRP consists of a 4.5S RNA and the Ffh protein (a homologue of the eukaryotic SRP54 protein).
Source: RNAcentral